Molecule: non-coding RNA, 72 nt
Organism: Ornithorhynchus anatinus (platypus)
Lineage: Eukaryota; Metazoa; Chordata; Mammalia; Monotremata; Ornithorhynchidae
Source: Rfam
AGCGGCGUGGCUCAGUGGAAAGAGCACGGGCUUGGGAGUCAGAGGUCAUGGGUUCUAAUCCCAGCUCCGCCG